RNAcentral lists this unclassified non-coding RNA (145 nucleotides) under uncultured Chaetosphaeria. RNAcentral's name for it is "sequence contains ITS2". Lineage: Eukaryota; Fungi; Ascomycota; Sordariomycetes; Chaetosphaeriales; Chaetosphaeriaceae. The record is from RNAcentral.
CCACCCUCAGGCCCUGCCUGGUGUUGGGGAUCUGCGUCUGCAGCCCCUGAAAGACAGCGGCGGUCCCGACUUCAGGUCCCGAGCGUAGUACUAUACGUCGCUACGGGCGCCUGGCGGGCUCCGGCCGUAAGCCUAUUUUUAUCAA